CCUACGGGCUGCACCAGUGGGGAAUAUUGCACAAUGGGCGCAAGCCUGAUGCAGCCAUGCCGCGUGUGUGAAGAAGGCCUUCGGGUUGUAAAGCACUUUCAGUCGUGAGGAAGGUGGUGUAGUUAACAGCUGCAUUACUUGACGUUAGCGACAGAAGAAGCACCGGCUAACUCCGUGCCAGCAGCCGCGGUAAUACGGAGGGUGCGAGCGUUAAUCGGAAUUACUGGGCGUAAAGCGCAUGCAGGUGGUUUGUUAAGUCAGAUGUGAAAGCCCGGGGCUCAACCUCGGAAUAGCAUUUGAAACUGGCAGACUAGAGUACUGUAGAGGGGGGUAGAAUUUCAGGUGUAGCGGUGAAAUGCGUAGAGAUCUGAAGGAAUACCGGUGGCGAAGGCGGCCCCCUGGACAGAUACUGACACUCAGAUGCGAAAGCGUGGGGAGCAAACAGGAUUAGAUACCCUCGUAGUC
RNAcentral lists this ribosomal RNA (465 nucleotides) under uncultured bacterium. RNAcentral's name for it is "bacterial SSU rRNA". It matches the Rfam family "Bacterial small subunit ribosomal RNA", at positions 338 to 795 of the family's 1533-position model. The record is from RNAcentral.